GCCGCUGUAGCUUGAAGGCGGUACUUCCUCCAGCAUUUGCCGCGAGUUAUUGGCAAGUUCCCCUGCAGUUGUUUGGGCUGUCGCUGUGGCUGGUUCUGGGGUGUGCGGCCAGCCAUGGAGCGCUCUGGGCCGAGCGAAGUGACAGGCUCAGACGCGUCGGGACCGGACCCGCAGCUUGCGGUCACCAUGGGCUUCACUGGGUUCGGUAAAAAAGCUCGCACAUUUGACUUGGAAGCAAUGUUUGAACAAACUCGAAGGACAGCUGUGGAAAGAAGUCGCAAAACACUGGAAGCAAGAGAAAAAGAGGAAGAAAUGAACAGAGAGAAAGAAUUAAGAAGACAAAAUGAAGAUAUUGAGCCAACAUCCUCAAGAUCAAAUGUGGUCAGAGAUUGCUCCAAAUCAUCUUCCAGGUCCUACUGGGUAGGUGAUAUCAGCUGGACGCAUGAUAGUCUUUUUCUGGCUUGUAUGUUAAAACGUGGCUCUCUGGUUUUAUUGACCUGCCAAGGUGAAUUGCUAACAUUAAUUACAUGUGGUUGCUCUAUAGAAUUUGGCCCAGCAGAAUUUAUUCCUCUUCAUCCACUAAUAACGUAUAGACCACAGCAGUUUACGUUUCAAGAUUCAAAUAAUUCUGUUGAUUCAUCAGCUUCUGAUAGUGACCCUAUGAGACAGAGAUUUUCUAUAAAAGCACACUCACGGUUACCCUACCUCGUUAUAUCUGAUGGAUAUAUGGUCACAACCCUUCGAUUUCUUGAUAGCCUAUCUCCAUCAGUACACAUGAGAUCACUUCUACUUGAUUCAACCCAGAGGCUUGAGAAAAUAUAUCAAAGUGUGAUAUUGUCUAAGCCAAAAGGCAAAGGACUGAACUUGCGAUCACUGAAUUCCCUAAGAUCUAGCCUGUUAGAACACCAAGGAAAUGAAAGUUCAGCCGAUUUCACUGUCCCCAAAUUCUUGCAGGCAGAAGAAACAAUAAAUGAAAAUGCAGCAGAUUUUCAGGAUUUUGAAGCAGAAGAAACUAACGAAGGCAGACACUUUCCAGACAACUUAUUUCCUUUUUGGAACAAAAGAGAUGAUGUGCUGUGUUGUAGUAUGAAGGAAGGAAGAUUGGAAUUUGCAUCUAUGUUUGAUACGAUACAUGCAAAGGAUGAUAGUGAGGAGACAGAUAGAACCAUUACAGAACUGCAUUCUAUCCAGAAAAGUCUACUUGCAGCGUGGACUAUAGGAAUUUCAAAAACUGUGACAGAAAAAAAUUUAAUGUUAAAUUACGUAGUAGUUUGUAUCACUCAUUUUUUUUGCAUUCUUCAAUUUAUAAAAUGUCCUUUUCCCAAACUUGAUCUUGUUUUAAGCAAAAGCUCAAGACAUAAUGCGUGGAUACUUUGUAUCUUUCAACUUUUUCAUCAGUGUUUAUCAAUCCAUUAUUGGGAUAUAAGAUACAAACAAGAUGUGGGGCAUUUGAUAAAGCUGACCUCAAAUACUAUAAAACUUUUGCUGACUCAGCAACAAAAGGGUCAGUUAUUCUCAGAGAAACUUUCAGCUUGUUUUUAUUUACUCAAAAUGGUAGCUGACAAUUUAAAUGGUGUAUACAUUCUUCAACCUGAAGUUAUUUCAGCAUCGGCUGAUGGAAGUAAAAUAACAGCUCAAGACUCAUUGGUGGUACCUAUUUUUCAGAUGUUUCGAGAUAGUGGUUUUCAGAAAAACUGGUCUUGGAACUCAUUUUUCAAGAUUCAUCCUCAAGUAGUAAAUCCUGUGCAACAGCCAGGACACAGAUUGCUUAUUCUCUGGAGAAUGCUGUACAAAAAAACUUUAUGGUAUCAAGCACAAUUAAAUCGAAGAGUUCCUGAAGCUGAUAGUCAGUUAACUGAAAAGAUGACACAUGAAGCAUCUACUGUCAAGUCCCUGUUAUGUCAUUUGCAGGCUAACCUACAGAGUACUGGUGAUUGCUUGAAUCAAACCUUAGAACUUAAAUCUAUCAAUGGGGAAGAAUGUUUCUUAUUAGGAUCAUAUGAAAAGUCUGUUCAGCUGUGGCAAAUAGCUCUACAAGAAAUCGAAGAGAAAGGAGGAAGAAGGACGUAUUUUCUUCAGAUACGCUAUUAUCUUUCUCUCUUAUACUGCCACCUCUAUAGCUAUAAUUUAAAUGAUGCUCAAGGAUUGUGUGAUCAGCUAGCAAGAGAAAUCCUGAGAUGGUCCCAACUACCUGUAAAAGAAAAUAAAGCGUUUUCAGGUGCUGCGAAGUCUCAUUUUGAGUGUGGAAUGGUGGGCGGUGUUCAUCCUGAGGCAGCAGUGAGAGUCGUCCAGUCCAUGGCUCGUUUCAUGGCUGCCUAUUUCACCAAUCAGCAGCUUUGCAUUUUGCCCCCUCAUCAUGUGAAUGUUCUUCCCCCACUUCAUAUUAAAACAGAGCAGUCCUUUCGACUUAUUCCUCUGCAACACUCUAAGGUGGCCAGUGUUGUUAGAGAUCAGAAUCUCUCUAAUGUGUGGACAGUUGAAUAUGCACUUGAAUUACUAUUUAUUGGUGGCCUGGUUCCAGAGGCUGUGUGGUUGGCAUAUAAACUUGGAGACUGGAAGACGUCUGUUUCAAUUGGUGUGGCUUUCCAGCUGUUCUGUAAACAUGAUAGCAAUUUCAUGAGGUCCAAGAAAAAGAGUCUGAAUCUACCACUACGUAUGACUCCAGCACAGAUUUUUCAGGAAAAACUGCAGUGUUUUUUAGGUCAACCAACCUCUUUGGAAGCAAAAAAUGAAAUGGGCUCGAAAUAUAAACAGUUUACAGAUCCCAUUGAAGAGGAAGAUGCAAAUCUGCUAUUUGGUUCAGUACAAGAAGUACUGAAAGCAUCAGUUAUGGCCGAUGCAGAUAUUCUUUCGGAGACAUUUCAACUUCUGAUAGACUCUGCCAAGGACUUCAGUAAAAGACUGUGGGGCUUAGUGCCAUUCGGCUUGUAUCUUCCAGCUCCUCCAUUGUACUGUCCCCAGCCAGCUAUUCUUAGUGAAGAAGAUGGUGAUGAUCUUCUUUUAAAAGCUGAAAAAAAUAAUCGCCAGAAGGUAUCUGGAAUCCUUCAGCGUGUUCUCCUGCUUUUCCGGGCGGCUCAGUGUUCUUUUCCUGUAGCACAGUGGUAUAUCUUGCAGUUGAGGUGGGCAAGAAAAGUCAUGCAGAAGAUUCGAAUGAAAGGAUCCCUUCCUUCACUGAGUCCUUUUCCUCAGUCAUUACUUAAUUACUGUAAAGGAGGUAUCGCAUUUUUUAGACCUGGAGCAGCUGGAGACCACAAGCUUGAUGAAGUUUCCAUUAGAGCAAUAGGUUGCUUCAGAGAACUUUGUGCUCUGUGUUGGAUGCUGCAUGUCCGUGAUAAGUUAUCCUAUAGUUGCAGGCAAUAUCAGAAAGCAAGAGAAAAUGUAAAAGGAGAAAAGGACCUUGAAGUGGAGUUUGAUUCUUGUAUGAUUGAGCACUGUCUUAGUGCGGUGGAAUGGGCUUAUAGAAUGCUGCCUUUCUCUCGGUUUUUUAAUAUGGAAGAACUUAUUCAGGAUAUAAUUUUGAGCCUUAUUGGAGAACUGCCACCAAUCAGAAAGGUAGCAGAAAUUUUCGUGAAAGCAUUUCCCUAUCCUGAGGACGUGAGGGUUCCUUUAAGAGACAAAUAUCACUCUCUUCACCAGAGACUCAGACACUGUGUUGUGAAAGGACCCCAGACUGAGGAAGUGAUGUCUGUUGUCAUGCAUUCUAUCCAGAAAGUGAGGGUGAAAGCUCUAAAACGUGUGCAGAGAAAUAUAGGCUCUUUUGAAGUGAAUAUAUGGGAACCAAUUGAAGAAGAGAAACCAGAUGAGGCUCCAGGUUUUGACAGAUAUUCCCUGGGGACUAGUUUGAGCAGAAGUACACUCACAGAACUGGGGGAUUCUGUGGUUCACAGUGAUGCAGAUACAUUCUCUGAAGCUUUGUCGGUUGAAGAAAAAAGUAGGAUAAAUAUCUAUCAAAGAAAUGCUCCAAAUCACAUGGAAUUAACAUCGAUUCGUAAGCCAACUGAUAAAAAGAAAAUGUGUAAUCAGAAAGAAAAUCCUACAAAGAAAGAAGAUCAUGAAAAGUUAUCACAAAAUACACUUCCUGUAAUAGGUGUUUGGGAAUUUGAACGUGAUGAUGAUGAAUAUAUUAAAUUCCUUGAUCUGUUUUUGAGUUACAUUCUUGAAAGAGACCUACCUUAUUCCAGGGAUGCUGGCAUUCCAUUUCUAACUAGUUUUUCUGGAAAGCUUAGAGAACAUGAACUUAAUUCUUUACUUUUUGAUGUACAUACAACAUUAAAACGACGUCAGAGCAAAACUAAAAGCCAGAAUGUGUUUAGAGCUGGUUCUUGCUUUGUUGUUGCUCCUGAGUCCUAUGAAUCAGAAAAAUCAUCCUCUUUAAAUGAUGACUAUGGCAUGCAUUUAGAAAACCAGGAACUUUCAUCAUCAGUACUGGUUAAUCAAGGGAUCAAACCUUUUUUACAAUAUCCUUCGAAUGAAGUCAAUAAGAAUGAAGGAAUGAGUGGAUUAUUUGGUUUAAAACAAAAGUCAAUUUACAAAAUACAAGAUGACACUAGAGAGAAAUGUCUAAUCCAGAGAUCAUCAAACCACAUUUUUUGGACUCCCAAGUCCAUUAAAACUAGAAGAUGUAUUUUCAAAGCUAUUCAGUGCAAUGAUAUUAACCCUCAAGAAGAUCUUCCUUUAGCACUAAACACAUUUGGCAGUAUAGGAAGACUGCUGGAAUGGAUGAUAAGGUGGUCUAAUAGAAGGCUACUCUGUGAUUCUGGUAUAACUGAGUCAUCCUCUGAGUACAGUCCAGUAAUUCGUGUAAAGACCUCUGCAGCUGCCAUUCUUACAUCAUUAUGGCUUUUGGAACAACCCUAUUUUGCUACAUAUAAGGCAAAAAAUGCCAUUAUUAAGAUGGUAGAGAAUCGUGACACUGGGUGUCAGAUUGGACCCAAUAUUGAGAGGGAGAGCAAAUCAGAUGCUGGCGGUUCAGUUGCAGUAGCAACUCCAGGUGGAACUGAGGAAAGAAAUGGUCAGAAUAAAUCUUGUCAAAAUAUCUUGAAUAGAAUGCCAACUGAAGCAAAAAAUCCUGAUAUAAAAGAAAUCAAUGAUGAUAUUAUUUCCGUCACUCAUAAUACUAAAAAAGAAUUUAUAGAUAUUGAUGAGAAUCUUUUAGAAGUAGAAGCAUUUACAGAAGAGGAAAUGGAUAUGCACAUAUCAGACUAUGAAGAAGACAUUGAAGAAUCUGUUGGAGGUUUCAGAAGUCCCAGUCUUGCCAUUUGCAUGAUGACUUUACCACAGCAGUUAGAAGAAGAGUUCACAGAAGAGGUUCAGUGUCAAAGGGAAGAACCACUGGAGACAAUUAUGGAGGAAAAAUCGACUGAACAAAAAGGUAUGAUCGAAGCCUUUUCACAUCCUGAGCAUACCACUCCUCAAUCAAUGCAAGUAGAUACAAGUUCAGAAAUUUCUAGUGCACAGAUUUCUACAUAUAAAGACAAAUCUUCCUCAGUUCCACUUCUGAUAUCAAAUGGAGUCAAUGUUGCUUCACAACCACCUGUGCCAACACCUCAGAAGACCCAGAGAAAUGAAUGCACGGCUCAGUUACCAGAUUCUUCGGAGUCUGUUAGGCAGAUGCUGCAAGAUGAAAUGUUUAAAUUAGUUCAGAAUCCUGUUCACAAGAUUCCUGACUCGCAUGAGAUAACGCUGAAGCAUGGCACUAAAACAGUGUCUGCUUUGGAUCUGGAUGCCUCAGGUGCCCGUUUGGUGACAGGUGGAUAUGACUGUGAUGUUAAGUUUUGGGAUUUUGCUGGAAUGGAUGCUUCUUUUAAGGCAUUUCAAUCCCUUCAGCCCUGUGAGUGGCUGGGCGUGGUGGCUCACACUUGUAAUUCCAGAACUUUAGAAAGCCGAGGCAGGCGGAUCACCUGAGGCCUGGAGUUUGAGACCAGAAUGGACAACAUGGCAAAAGCCCGUUGGAAAUGGCCAUCUUCUCUCAGUAUCCUCACAUGGAUGGUGAUUGCUCACACCAAAGCCUUGGACCCCUCCCAGCCUGUGACCUUUGUGACCAACUCCACCUACGCAGCAGACAAGGGGG
Molecule: RNA transcript, 6070 nt
Organism: Gorilla gorilla gorilla (western lowland gorilla)
Lineage: Eukaryota; Metazoa; Chordata; Mammalia; Primates; Hominidae
Gene name: ciliogenesis and planar polarity effector 1-like
Exons: 32
Source: RefSeq, a predicted model, not a curated record